CAAAUUAUUAUUCAGCUAAUAAUGGAUGUGGCCUCCUCUCUCCCUCUUCUUCCAGCAAUCCCCUCAAUCCGCCGUCCCCAUUUCAACCCCAGGGUCUCCAUCAAAACCCUAGCUUCUUCAUCUUCUUCCUCUUCAUACAAAGGCCCAAAACCCCGGCGAGAUCUUGCGAGCGAUUGGGUCUCCGACAACGAUGGCCUCGUCCGCAGCCUCCCCAUUUACGUCGGCGGCCUCUCUCUCCUCUCCGUCCUCGUCAACCGAGCUUUCUCCGGCAUCGCCCCCGUCGCCGACGCCUCCAGUUCACAAUCGAGAGCAGACAUAUUAACUCUUGGUUUGGCUGUAACCAAUCUUCUUACUGGCCUUGUAUGGUUGUCGAUUCGACCAAAGGAUAUUUCUCCAGUGGUCCCUAAGGGCGUGGACUGUAGGCGGAUAGACUCGACUAUUUCUCAAGUUGCAGCUUGUGAAUUGCUAUGGGCAUGGGAAUCACUUUCAGCUGCAUCAUGUUGCAGGUCGUUAGUGAUUGUAUAUGGAGGCAACUGUCUUCUUCAAAUUGGUGUUGCAGCUGCUGUAGGUAGUGAUCCUGUGAUUAUUGAUGUUCCAAAGUUAAUGCAGGGUUCACUCUACAGAAAUGCAAUGAAAUCUGGAAAGCAAAGCUACUUGGCAAAUCUCUCUCUUUAUCCUGGAAAGUCCGAACUUCCUUUCUUGCCUAUUGACACACAGGCAGUCAUUUUGCAGCCAUUAAGUGAUAAAGGAAUAGCAAUCAUUGGCGGUGACACUAUUAGGGGUUUCAACAAUCUUGACCAGACAUGGAUCGCAUCGAUUGCGGAUAAGUUGGAUUCUACAUUGUCGAAGUCGUCAAGUAUCAAGACCUAACUAAUUUCGAACUUUCCUAUCAAAUUGUGUAGAUCAAAAUUCAACAAACUCUUGGAUGCCUUCUGUCGGGAGACCUACUCAUCUAUUGAAGAUUCAUUGGUUUCGCACUUUCCAAUUUCCUGAAAAUUUCUGGCAUAAGUGCUGACUUUGAAGUUUGCCUGUGAGUCCAUUCACAUGUAAUGACGAAGUUUUCUGUUCUGCAUAAUGGAUUAUACUACUGAAAAUAUAAUCAAGUUGAAGAGUGCUCUUUGCCUGCUUAAUUGUACUGUUAGUGUCGAAAAACAGUUGAUUUUGUGAUAUGAAAGAAGUUGCAAUCGUAUUUCUAAACUGAUUUGUAGUCGUAUUCAGAAAUUUGUUUAUGUUGCAGAGAAAAUAGAGAAAAAAUAAAAAUACCGAAGUUUUUUUUUGGGCAGAAUAGAUGCCUCCCUUCCCAUCCA
This is an RNA transcript of Asparagus officinalis (garden asparagus), 1307 nucleotides long. It is a transcript of the gene named protein COFACTOR ASSEMBLY OF COMPLEX C SUBUNIT B CCB4, chloroplastic, with no coding region annotated. The record is from RefSeq and is a predicted model, not a curated record. NCBI's taxonomy places the organism in Eukaryota, Viridiplantae, Streptophyta, Magnoliopsida, Asparagales, Asparagaceae. The transcript is spliced from 9 exons.